This 1598-nucleotide long non-coding RNA is filed under the name Homo sapiens (human). Its description in RNAcentral is "HSALNT0266570". Lineage: Eukaryota; Metazoa; Chordata; Mammalia; Primates; Hominidae. The record is from RNAcentral.
GUGAGCCACCAUACCCCAGCCCCUCUUGAUUCUUUAUCAGUGCCCUAUCCUGUACCUCUCAUGGCCUCUUGAGUAAGUACUGACCCAAGAAAAGAAGAUGCAGCUGCUUCUCUCCAGAAGCUCCACUAGUGAGACUACUCCCUGGGGUGGUGUUGACAAGUUCUCUUAUUUACAGUGAUACUUAGGUCAAGACGUUAAUUUGAUAGUCUUGGUGUCAUGCCUGGCAUGAAGUAGCUGCUCAAUAAAUAAUCACUGUUAGUAUGGCACUAUGAUAACUGCAGACCACACAGGCCUCGAGCAGUGAGCAGCAGCCCAAUAUUUACUAUUGCUCUGGUAGUCUAUACAGCCAUAGAGUCCACGAAUUCUAAAGAGGAGCUCUGGAAAGUGUGAAAGCCUCUGGACUCCAAUGAAGCUAUUUGCUGGGCUCCCCAGGCAAAAAGAAGGCAUAAUAAUUGUCAAUAUCAUCAUUCUCACCAUUAGAAGGUGCCACCUCCCAGACUCUACAACUCGUAUAUCCAGCUGGGAGAGCUUCUAUUUCUCUGCAGGCAAUCAAUUAAUAGAAACCUCCUUUCUGUAAUGAACAUGAAAGCAUUUGACAGUUUUAAAGGAUUUUACCAAUUAAACAAAAGUCAUUCCUUUUCCUCCUUCCUGAACCCAAUACCCGCUCCCAACAUACACACCUUCUACUCCUGGUACAUGGAAGAAGAAAGGGUAACUCGUCUACUCUAGACUCAUCUUAAAUUGACUACAGAUGGUUUGGCUAAUUCAGUUCAAAUUAAAUUCUUUUCUUGCCUAUCCUGUCCUCUUCGCAAAUGGGAAUUGGCCCUUGGAGUUAAAUUUCUUUCUAAAGUUCCUACUGUAUGACUGGGGUAAUUUCUCAACAAUGGCUGGUGAUGUUAGAUCUGUGGUUGCUCAAAAAGAUGGAGGGGCUGGCUGCAGCGGCUCACGCCUGUUAUCCCAGCACUCUGGGAAGUCGAGGUGGGUGGAUCAUUUGAUCACCGUUCUGGGAUUACAGGCAAUGAGCCACCACACCCAGCCUGAACAAGUCACUUUUGAUGCUACCAUUUCCAUGUUUACAAAGUGAAAAGUAAAUCAGUCAGAGUAUAUUAGUUGCAAACAACAGAAACAACUCUAGCUAGCCUGAGAGAAAAAAAAGGUAGAGGGUUAGUCUCCUGGAGAGAUUUGGGGACCUCAAAGGAAAGAUUAUACAAUGUGCCUCCAAAAAAAAAAAAAAAGGGUCACCACAAGGGCAAAUGCGUGAUUUAAUGGGGUUGGGACUUUCAGCCCCAUCCCCCAACCUCUGGGGAGGAGAGAGGGACUGAAGGUCAAGUUGAUCACCAAUGGCCAAUGGUUUAAUCAAUCAUGCCUACAUAAUGAAGCCUCCAUAAAAACCCAAGAGGACAGGCUUCAGAGAGCUUCCUGAUAGCCAGACAUGCUGGGGUUCCUAGAAGGUGGCAGGCCCAGGGAGGACGCAGAAGCUCUGCACCCCUUCCCAUACCUCACCCUAUGCAUCUCUUCAUCUGCAGCCUUUGUAAUAGCCUUUAUAAUAAACUGGUGUGUUUCCCUGAAUUCUUUUUGGUUUUUUAAUUUUUGAGACA